GAUGAACGCUGGCGGCGUGCCUAAUACAUGCAAGUCGAGCGAACGGACGAGAAGCUUGCUUCUCUGAUGUUAGCGGCGGACGGGUGAGUAACACGUGGAUAACCUACCUAUAAGACUGGGAUAACUUCGGGAAACCGGAGCUAAUACCGGAUAAUAUUUUGAACCGCAUGGUUCAAAAGUGAAAGACGGUCUUGCUGUCACUUAUAGAUGGAUCCGCGCUGCAUUAGCUAGUUGGUAAGGUAACGGCCUACCAAGGCAACGAUGCAUAGCCGACCUGAGAGGCGGAUCGCCCACACUGGAACUGAGACACGGUCCAGACGCCUACGGGAGGCAGCAGUAGGGAAUCGUCCGCAAUGGGCGAAAGCCUGACGGAGCAACGCCGCGUGAGUGAUGAAGGUCUUCGGAUCGUAAAACUCUGUUACUAGGUAAGAACAUAUGUGUAAGUAACUGUGCACAGCUUGACGGUACCUAAUCAGAAAGCCACGGCUAACUACGUG
Molecule: ribosomal RNA, 497 nt
Filed under: uncultured bacterium
Lineage: Bacteria
Description: partial 16S ribosomal RNA
Rfam family: Bacterial small subunit ribosomal RNA
Source: RNAcentral